UGGGGAAUUUUGGACAAUGGGGGAAACCCUGAUCCAGCCAUCCCGCGUGUGCGAUGAAGGCCUUCGGGUUGUAAAGCACUUUUGGCAGGAAAGAAACGUCAUGGGUUAAUACCCCGUGAAACUGACGGUACCUGCAGAAUAAGCACCGGCUAACUACGUGCCAGCAGCCGCGGUAAUACGUAGGGUGCAAGCGUUAAUCGGAAUUACUGGGCGUAAAGCGUGCGCAGGCGGUUCGAAAAGAAAGAUGUGAAAUCCCAGAGCUCAACUUUGGAACUGCAUUUUUAGCUACCGGGCUAGAGUGUGUCAGAGGGAGGUGGAAUUCCGCGUGUAGCAGUGAAAUGCGUAGAUAUGCGGAGGAACACCGAUGGCGAAGGCAGCCUCCUGGGAUAACACUGACGCUCAUGCACGAAAGCGUGGGGAGCAAACAGG
Molecule: ribosomal RNA, 429 nt
Filed under: Acidobacteriota bacterium
Lineage: Bacteria; Pseudomonadati; Acidobacteriota
Description: Acidobacteria bacterium partial 16S ribosomal RNA
Rfam family: Bacterial small subunit ribosomal RNA
Source: RNAcentral